RNAcentral lists this long non-coding RNA (2033 nucleotides) under Mytilus galloprovincialis (Mediterranean mussel). Lineage: Eukaryota; Metazoa; Mollusca; Bivalvia; Mytilida; Mytilidae. The record is from RNAcentral.
AUUCAGCUUCAAGAGCCUUCUAUUUAUCAAAAUCUAUUAAUUUGACCACACUGUUGGUACUGCUGAUACAUUUGUUUUUAUAAGGUAAGAACAUUUUGAGAUUGUCAAACUGUUAAUCAGCCAUAGAAAAAAAAACAAAAAAAAAACAAGUGAACGAAUUGACAAAAUUAAUGAAACGUACAUUUACAGGCAGUAACAUUUUCUGAUGUGAUGUACUUACUUUACUGAGAUUUAAGUACAUCAAAUGUCAAAUGAAUCCGUUAAGCUGGGGUCACACAUUCACGAUUUUUACUGCCGUCCUUGACAGGACCAUUCCGAUUAAAUUUGUCAAAAGUCUGUCAGUCUGUGAAUCGUGAUGGAAUUGAUUUGUAUCUUUCGCCAGGUAAAUUCGACGAGUCUGUCACGACUGUGUCCCGAUUCUACCGAAUGUAAUCCGACAGAAAUAGAUAGUGACAAGACAGUGAACCGACGCUACGGAAGUUAUCCGUUCGAAAACUGUCGCAUAAUCGGCGAAGAUCAGGUACUGUCGAAGUAAUCCUAUCACGGUCCGCUUAUCGCAUUGCAACGCUUGUCUGGUCUCGUCGUAUUGUAUCUGUUAUUGUCGGGACUUCUCCAGAUCAUUCCCGUUCCACAGACACCGUCCCGAAUACACAGAACAUUGUUAGGAAUUCGAUCCGAUACAGAGAAUCUGUCACGACAUAGGCACGAUGUAAUCCACUAGAACAAAUCGGCUGAGUUUCCCGAAUGUUACGGACGCCACCUAACUGUCGGGGUGCUUUGCGGAACUAUUCAGACCCUUCCCGACCAGUAGGAUUGUUACGAACUAAAAACUGCGUUCAGCAUAAAUAGGACUUCCAGAAUAAUUGAGGAUCUAAUCCGACUUUUCACUUCAUGUCGUAUCGCUGUCUGAUCUCAAACGGGAGCAAUAAUCGGCAAUGUGUGAACCCCGCAUUAAAUACAUAUCAGGCUAAGUUAACGGGUCGUGGUGUCGCACAUGAACCUUUUCUCAACUGGAAGAUACCCAUUAUAUAAAGGAAUCAAAGUUGAAUUCAGGUGAUAAAAUCGCGAACAAGUCUUAUUUAAAUCAGCAACGACAGCUUACACUCGGGCACAAUAAUAUAUGAAAAAAAACGGCUUACCAUUAAGUUUUUAAGCAAUAUGCACUGCAAAAAUUACGUGACAUCAGAUUUUACAAGACGAAAUGUGUGUCCUUCUGCUAAUGCAAACCGUAUCAUUUCACAGGAGAUUAAUCGAAUAUGUAAGUCUCAAAAUUGAGGAAAGGAUGUGAAGCGCCUAAGAAUAUAAAUAGGAAUUCAUUAUUAUAAUCAUUGAGACAAACCGACUCAAAAUAGAAUAGACACAUCGUUUUCGUCGAUGUAGAAUUGUGUAGUAACAAUAUGAGCUCAGGAUCAAAUCAUCGCAAGCUGAAAAUAGUAUGUGACAGUACCUAUGAAUACUCAACAAAGGUUGCUGAACUGUUACCUAAAACGAAAAAAGAUUCAUGGUAUGAGAGAUAAAUCUGUGAAUACCAAAAUGUACGAUACAAAAUGAGUUGAGACGGUAAAAUCCAAAAUUUAAAAAUUUAACAUUUAUGAUUAUUCUUUAAAUGCACACUAAGUAUGUAAAACUAUAUAUCUCAAUGGACAUUGACAAUUUGGUGAUGAUUUUAUUUUUCAGAAGUUUAUACAAAAUUCAUCACUACCGAAAUAAAACUCAAGAUAUCAAGAUGAUUGAGGGGUUCGGAACACUUUUUAUACUAACUGGAACAUUAGAUAUUUAUGUGAAUCCCAUCUAUAGAACUAAAAAAGUAUCAAUGAUUAAACAAUUGUCAUUCGUUGAUCUGAACAUACUCAGCUGUCUUAUAAAAUGGGCUUAGUUGUAUAUCAUAUAAUCACUUUGUUAAGUGUAAUUAAAUUUACAACUGUGUAGUUGAUAUAUAAAGCUAGAAAUAAUGAUCAUGUUCUUAUCUGCAUAUAAAGCACCAUGGAGCUUCACAAGUACAUUGCAUAUCUUGGAAAACUUGUUGAUUCACG